GGCGGGAUCGUCCCGGGCGCGGUCGAGAGGCCAGACCCGGAGCAAGGCGCCCGCCGGGGACCCAAACCCCUACGUUUUUCUCACGGUUUUCUUCUGAGUGGCUUAUAAAGCAAAAAAAUGAAUUAAAACUUUCAACAAUGGAUCUCUUGGCUCUGGCAUCGAUGAAGAACGCAGCGAAAUGCGAUAAGUAAUGUGAAUUGCAGAAUUCAGUGAAUCAUCGAAUCUUUGAACGCACAUUGCGCCCGCCAGUAUUCUGGCGGGCAUGCCUGUCCGAGCGUCAUCUCAACCCUCGAGCCCCCACGGGGGAUCGGUGUUGGGGACCGGCCCUGCCUCGCAGCGGGCGCCGCCCCCCAAAUUCAGUGGCGGUCCCGUCGCGCCUCCCUUGCGUAGUAGCUCUUUUGAAACCUCGCACCGGAGCGCGUCGGGUCCACGCCGUAAAACCCCAACUUCUGGAAGGUGACCUCGGAUCAGG
RNAcentral lists this ribosomal RNA (472 nucleotides) under uncultured fungus. RNAcentral's name for it is "eukaryotic LSU rRNA". The stretch from base 127 to 280 matches the Rfam family "5.8S ribosomal RNA". The record is from RNAcentral. Lineage: Eukaryota; Fungi.